GUAGUCUCUCUGAGUCGGUCAGUUAUGCUGAUGGCAGAAUUGAGUUCAUGAGGAAAAGAAUUCCACUGCAACUUGAAGCUUGGUGAAAAGCCUCGGCUUAAGCAGACUGCACGAGCUCCACAAGAACUGAGUUUGUGCCGAAUUUUAUUCAUCACUGUAUCCCUGGCACCUGGAACAAUGCUGUGAAAGUCAGUCAUAGGCAUUCAGUCAUAGGCAUUUUCAGUGAAUGCGUUCAAUUUUCAACAUCAGUCUCCUUAAGUAUCUACCCAAGAGAAAUGAAAACAUAUGUCCACACAAACAAUGGUAUGUGAAUGUUCCUAGCAGUGACAUUUGUAAUGGUUGCAAAGUGGCAAUUAUCCAAAUGUCCAUCAGCUGGCGAGCGGAUAAACAAAAGGUGGCACAUCCAUACAGUGGAAUACCAUUCAGCAAUAAAAAAGAAAAACAUGUACUACAACAUGGAUAAACCCCAAAGAUAUUAUGUUAAAUGAAAUAAGCCGGACACAAAAGACUACACAGUGUACUAUUCCAUAUGUAUGAAAUUUCUAGAAAAGGAAACACUGCAAAGAAGAAAGCAGACCCAUGGCUGCCUUGGCCUGGGGGUAGGAGUGGGGACUGCCUCCAGGUGGGAAGAAGGGAACUUUUAGAGGUGAUGGAAAUGUUCUAAAAUUGGAUUCUGGUGAUGGUUGCACAACUGUAUAAAUUUACAAAAAAUUAUCAAACUAUACAUUUGCAGUGGUGAAGUGUAUGGCAUGUGAAUUAUGUCUCAAUAAAGCUGUUAAAAGUG
This is a long non-coding RNA of Herpailurus yagouaroundi (jaguarundi), 784 nucleotides long. RefSeq lists it as uncharacterized. The transcript has 2 exons. NCBI's taxonomy places the organism in Eukaryota, Metazoa, Chordata, Mammalia, Carnivora, Felidae. The record is from RefSeq and is a predicted model, not a curated record.